RNAcentral lists this RNase P RNA (430 nucleotides) under Dietzia psychralcaliphila. RNAcentral describes it as "RNase P RNA component class A". It matches the Rfam family "Bacterial RNase P class A". From Rfam's summary of the family: Ribonuclease P (RNase P) is a ubiquitous endoribonuclease, found in archaea, bacteria and eukarya as well as chloroplasts and mitochondria. Its best characterised activity is the generation of mature 5'-ends of tRNAs by cleaving the 5'-leader elements of precursor-tRNAs. Cellular RNase Ps are ribonucleoproteins. Lineage: Bacteria; Bacillati; Actinomycetota; Actinomycetes; Mycobacteriales; Dietziaceae. The record is from RNAcentral.
CGAGUCGGCCGGACGGCCGCGGGCAGGGGAACCGGCGCCGACAGGCGAGAAGGCCCAGGUCCGAGGAAAGUCCGGACUCCACAGAGCAGGGUGGUUGCUAACGGCAACCCGGGGUGACCCGCGGGACAGUGCCACAGAAAACAGACCGCCGCGCCUGCGGGCGAGGUAAGGGUGAAACGGUGCGGUAAGAGCGCACCAGCGCCCCGGGCGACCGGGGCGGCUAGGUAAACCCCACCCGGAGCAAGGUCAAAGGCCGCACCGCCUGCGGUGCGGCUGCGCGGAUGGUGUGCAGCGAUGCACGGAAGGGCUGCUCGCCCGAGUCCGCGGGUGGACCGCUCGAGGCACCCGGCGACGGUGUGCCCAGAUGGAUGGUCGUCGCCCCUCCGCAUGCGGAGGGGCACAGGAUCCGGCUUACAGGCCGACUCGUUCG